UUGGUCCCAAACCUGUUAUUACCUGUAACCCUGAUUAUACAUGCAAGCCUCAACAUGACAGUGAGUAAUGCCCAACACACUUGGAGCAGGCAUCAGGCCAAAAUACACUACCAAUAACGCCAAGCAUCAAGCCACACCCACACGGGCCAGCAGCAGUAGUUAACAUUGGGCCAUAAGCGAAAGCUUGACCCAGCAAGAGUCACACAGAGCCGGUUAAUUUCGUGCCAGCGACCGCGGUUACACGACAGGCUCAAGAUAAUAUAAACGGCGUAAAACACGACUAGAUAUAAAAACCGACAUUAAGGACGAAACAAAGCUAGGCCGUAAAACACCAGAAGCCAAAAAAAGCACAAACCCUUAAAACAAUAACUCAACUCGUGAAAAUCAGGACACAAACUAGGAUUAAGAUACCCUACUAUGCCUAAUAGUAACACGGCAAUUAACAUUACAUAAUUGCUCGCCAAACAACUACGAGUGAAAACUUAAAACUUAAAAGACUUGACGGUACUUCACCCAACCUAGAGGAGCCUGUCUAAUAACCGAUAAUCCACGAUUAACCCAACCGGUUCUGGCCACCCAGCCUAUAUACCGCCGUCGCCAGCCUACCUUGUGAAAGAAACCAAGUGGGCUAAACAGUAAUACACUAACACGACAGGUCGAGGUGUAGCUUAUGAAACGGACAGAGAUGGGCUACAUUUUCUAACAUAGACAAAACGAAUAAAGUUAUGAAACUAACCCAAAAGGCGGAUUUAGCAGUAAGCUAAGAACAUAAUACCUAGCUGAAACCAAUGCAAUGAAGUGCGU
RNAcentral lists this non-coding RNA (804 nucleotides) under Eryx miliaris. The record is from RNAcentral. Lineage: Eukaryota; Metazoa; Chordata; Lepidosauria; Squamata; Erycidae.